UGCCUGUCCGAGCGUCAUUUCCUCCCUCACGC
This 32-nucleotide ribosomal RNA is filed under the name Leptographium terebrantis. RNAcentral's name for it is "partial 5.8S ribosomal RNA". The record is from RNAcentral. Lineage: Eukaryota; Fungi; Ascomycota; Sordariomycetes; Ophiostomatales; Ophiostomataceae.